Molecule: ribosomal RNA, 694 nt
Filed under: Mucor mucedo
Lineage: Eukaryota; Fungi; Mucoromycota; Mucoromycetes; Mucorales; Mucoraceae
Description: eukaryotic LSU rRNA
Rfam family: Eukaryotic large subunit ribosomal RNA
Source: RNAcentral
GGAAAAGAAAAUAACAAUGAUUUCCCUAGUAACGGCGAGUGAAGAGGAAAGAGCUCAAAGUUGGAACCUGUUUGGCUUAGCAAAACCGGAUUGUAAACUGUAGAAGUGUUUUCCUGACACGCCUGGUAAAAAAGUCCUUUGGAACAGGGCAUCAUAGAGGGUGAGAAUCCCGUCUUUGGCCAGAGCUGUUGUCUUUUGCGAUACAUUUUCAAAGAGUCAGGUUGUUUGGGAAUGCAGCCUAAAUUGGGUGGUAAAUCUCACCUAAAGCUAAAUAUUUGCGAGAGACCGAUAGCGAACAAGUACCGUGAGGGAAAGAUGAAAAGAACUUUGAAAAGAGAGUUAAACAGUAUGUGAAAUUGUUAAAAGGGAACCGUUUGGAGCCAGACUGGCUUGAUCGUAAUCAAUCUAAGCUUCGGCUUGGAUGCACUUGCGGUCUUUGCCUGCCAACGACAAUUUUUUCUGGGGGAAAAAACUAAUGGAAACGUAGCCCAUCUCGGUGGGUGUUAUAGUCCGUUAGAAAAUACCCUGGAUUGGAUUGAGGAACGCAGUGAAUGCUCUUUAGGGCAAGAUUGCUGGGUGCUUUCGCUAAUACAUGCUAAAAUUUCUGCUUCGGGUGGUGUUAGUGUGUAAAGGAGGAACUCGCCUAGUAUAUUUUUUAUUCGCUUAGGUUGUUGGCUUAAUGACUCUAAAUGAC